GCUGGGGACAUUUAAAUAAAAAAAAAAUGUAUAUUAAUAAUUUAUUUGCAUAUAAUAUGACACAGCUACUUAUUAAUUCUUCGAAAUCCCGCCAAAUCAUAUUCUGAUCUUCCCGAGUUGGCAGAUGUCAUCAGAUAAGACAUUCUCGGUGUUUUUGUACUGCCAUGACAUUCGGAAUAAUAACCCGUGAUGUAAAACAUGGUGUAGGAGGGGUUUGACAAGUAUUGUUCGUGAGUUUUAUACAACACAAUAUCAUUUCUAACUUCCAUCUACUUUUUGUCUACAAGUCGCGACCGGAGAUGUCAAAAUAUUAGGUAGGGCAAAUCUCACACUAGUUAAAUAAUUCAAUGAUCAAAUAAACAUUCAAAUAUUAUCAAUUACACAAGGACAGGAAUGCAAAUUGAAAAUAAAUUAGUACUAGAAACACAAAAGGAAUAGACUGACAUUAGUUUUAAAUUUAAACAUGUUUCAUGCGCUCUUUUAUAAUGUUAUUUUAAAUUUUGUAAUAACCGAGAAACAAAACCAUUUUACCAUAAAAUAUUGAUUGAUAUUUUGGCUUAAAAUUCAGUGACCAUGUUUAAAAAAAGUUCUUAAGAUUUCAUAAGUAUAAAGUCUCACUCUGUAUGAAAUAAUUGAUACAAAUUCUGUCCCAUGAUCGCACUGUUGCAGGAAUCAAUAAUAAAACUUAAUUUUAUCGAUCAUUGAGUCAGGUUAGCGCAGUCAGGAUCCUACUUCGUCAGAAUUAUCUCCCCAUUACGCCAGUUUAUUUUUUACAAUCGUAGAAAUGGAAGCCAUUGUAGGGAUGACGCGCUACCAAUUUUGCUCAUGGAAACCGAUAAAUUUAUCCACAUUGCACCAUUACGAUCCUUAUAUAUCAGUUGUAUUUUAAAAGACAAAUGUAUCAACUAGCUAAUGAGCAUCAGUUAAUGAUCUUGUCUGCAUUGAUUCAACUUAAAACUAUUGUCUGAUCGGUUGUCAGGUGGAAUUUUCGAAAAUUCAUAAACAUUUUAAAAAAAUUCUAAUUAAAAAUUUCGUGGAAAGGCAGACUAGAUUUUUUUAGUGUAUAAAGACUAUAAACCCUAGUUUUCACACACAAAAAAAUUAUAUUUUUUCAAAGAUAUGCAUUUUCAUCAUCCAACUUGAAAGACUGUCGUCAAGUACUUUCAUUAAAAAAUAGCUAUUCGAACACACCUUCUCUGUUUUUGUGACUCAUUAGAUAGGUAUUUCACUUGACCCAUAUAUUUCAUCUUUAGUACUGUUAUUUUUUGUGUUAUAAAGUCAAUCUGUAGCUUUGAUAUAUAAAAAUAAUAGAAUCUGAAGCGAGACGAUGUAUGAAAUAAUCUUACUUUGUACGAUAUCAAGACAAAAUAUUCAACUCAAACACGCCGUAACAUAAAAAGGUGCACUCGAUUUUCUCUUUUCGAUACAAUUGUUACCCAUUUUUAGGAAUUUUUUCUUGAGUAACAUAAUGGAAGGGCAGACACGAAAAUUUUUGAACUAAUAGAUUGAUAUGUUAUAGGUCCGUGGUAAUUUUUUCAAAAAAAUCGGAGGUUAUGCAUUUUCUUCAUCCAACUUGAAAGAUACCCAUGUCGUCGACUUGAAAUCUUAUUGUUCUGCUUGACUAUGUACUAGAUAAAUUGAAAACUUAUGCAAAACACCUCGUAAUUGAAAAGAAAAUUGCAAUUUUCUUUGUUUCUAUUAACUUUUAAAAUUUUUGUCACUAUAGUAAACAAUACAGUACACAUUUAUCGCCUUCUCUAACAAAGAGCUUCGAUUCUUUUGUUCUAUUUCAACCGGGUUUCCGACUGAGCGAUCUUAGCGAAAAUAGUAUGGAACUUCCAGUGCUUCCAUCAAAAGUACAUUGUACUUUAAAAUAUUUUAAAACAAUAUAUAUAACAUUACAUUGCUAAUGAAUAUUAAAAAGCAAUUCAAUAUUAUGCAAAUAUUUGAUCUAAUAAAUAUUUAAUUUUAUUUCAUUUGAAUUUUCUUAUUAUUUAAUAUUGUAGUGUUAAUAAAAAAAAUACACAUAAAAUAUCAUUUACAUGUCAGGGUUAAAAAGUACAAUGUUAAAAACAGCAGUAGGUAAAACGAUUUUUACUUUGGGGUUUUAUUUCUCAAAUUUAAAUUGCCUGGUUAUUAAAAACAUACCAAGAAAAAAAAAUGAGUUCACAAGUGCAAAAAAUCUACCUCCAGAAUGUGAACUUAACAAUCCUAUACGGUUAUACUAAUAAAUACACUAAAUACAACGCGUGUUCAGUGUAUAUGCAUGGUUAUACAAAUAAGUAUGCUCUUACAACGUAUAUUAUUACGCAAAUCCCGAAAUCCCGAGCUUAAAAAAACCCGAUUAAAGGUCAUAUUCCCCCUCAUUGAGGUGUGCUGUCUUAUAACGUCUACGGUUAUAUAAAUAAGUCCUCUUACUGUGUACUGUAUGUUGAUAUACAAAUGAGUACUCUUACAGCGUAUAUGAAUAAACCAUACUAGCAACAUGUCAACAAUGAAUAUUCCUGUCGCAAUACUCUCCUUGCUAUCUUGAAAAAAUCACAAUACAUCAUACAUGGUAAAAAAAUAUAUCAAAACUGCAUUACGAUGAAUGUAAAGGUGGCAUAGAAUAAACAUUUUUGGAAAUCAGAAAGAAAGUAUAUACUUCUUUGAGACGACCCUUACAGUUUGUUAUACAAGAGAAAUGUAGAUAUGCAAUGAUCUAUCACAGGGUUAAUAUAAAGAGACAACUAAUAUUACGUAUUUCCGAGGGUACAUGUCAUGUGCCACUUCAACAAUUCGAUGCAUUUCCGGCAACUAUAGGGCCAACUCGAUUGAUAAAUGUCAUAAAUUUUUCUAGCAUUAUUGUACAUCAAGGCAUAGCAAACUGUGAAUGGAAUCUGAUAUGAUCUGAUAAACAAACUGAUAGAAUUUGGGUGAAUUUCAAAGCUUUUUGGAUCUGAACGAUAUAAAAAUUAGAGAAAAUUUAAAAAUCUGAACAAAAAUUUUCAUGUAUUUCAUUUAACGAAUGAUUGCCAAGGCAACUGGAUUAUGUAAAUGAAAAGUUGUGUUUUUUAGCAUUCCUUAUCAAUUAUCUUUAUUUUCUGAAGGAAUGUUAUCUCGGCAUAGUUAAAAAAGUGGUGUAGUUCAGCUGCAGUUUCUGGCAAGAUGUUAUCACACAAUUCAAUAUAGAUUUAUUAUAUUAUCAACGUAAUUGAAGAACUUGUGAGUCCGUAUGAAAUAUGUUCAAGAAUAUUUACGGAAUGGGUGCAUAAUUAAAAAAAAAUGUCGGAUAAUUCAUAUAAUUAUAAUGCCUUGUUCAGGGGUAAAGCAAAUCGCAUGUUCUCACAUUAAUUUGUUUUAAUUUGUCAGCAAAGUCUCGAGAUAGUUGUAUUACUAUUGUCAUAAUGAUAUUUAUUUUAUCGUAUAUUUCAUAUGAAGAUCCAAGCAAGAUAUAAAUAGUAUAUUGUAAAUACCAUUGAAAAUGCGGACAUCCGAUAUAAACUGUUGGAAGGCAUGCGACUAUGUCUUAUUUGCAUUUUAAAUAAGAAACGUUUUAUAAUUUAAUAGUUCAUUUGAUGGUUCAUAGCUUGUUGUAUAAUUUUCGAUUGACAAUUAAUUAUAGUUAAAAUAAUUUUCCUCAAGGGUAACAUUCGCUCUGUGGCAAAUGCUUUCGUAAUAAUAUAAUUUAAACGACAUUUUUAAAACUUUGUAAAUUUUCAGUUCAUGAAUUAUUCAAUCAUAUCUAACAAGUCAUCAAAUGUAAAAUAGAGGUGGUCACACUUUUAUCAACAUGUUUUGAUCAAGUUUUUUUUUGUAGGAAAGAAAAUUCAUUGUCAACAAAAAGAUAGUUACUUCCUCGGGAAAAGUAUAUAGACGGUUGGAUUGUUUUAUGUACGUAUUUUUCGUUUGCAGUGUAACCAAUAAUGCAUAUUCCAGAAGUCAGUAUAAUAUGUUUUAGACUACAACUGUAACGAUGUCGAUGCGAAUGGACUAUCAGUCUUGGAGAAUAUCACCAACAUGAUUUCAUCAAUACAUUUUGAGGUUUAUUUUUCAGUUAAAAAUUUCUAUUCUAUAAAUUUAUGUUGCACCUUCCUCAGCCAAACUUGAUCUAAGGCAUUUUUCGGCUGUUAAUUAGUAGACCCUGUUCGUUUUCAUGCAGUAGUAGUUUUAGCAAUUCCAAACAAUUUGGUCGUGAGCGUAACUUAUGAAGUGGGUGCAUGACAUACUUACAACUAAUUUACCAAUCAAUCAACCAUUUAUUUGUGUCUUUUAUACACAGUUCGGAACAUCUCUACUCUAAGCGGCUAGAAAACCUCGAAAAUCGAUUCCUUAUCAGAACGUGCGGCAAAAUACGAACAAAACUUGGUACUUAAACUGUUCCCUCCUUAAGUUAUCAAAUACUUGAGGUAGACACCAACUAUAACUAGAAUUCUCCGACUGUGUUAUCUAUUAACGAUGCUUCAAUGUAAAACUCAGCAGUCUACUCCAAAUAACUUAAUCUCUAAGAGUACAUGUCAAGUUCCAAACGUCUACUGCGCAUAGCUUAAUCUCUAAGAAGUGCAUGUCAAGUUCCGGUGUGAACCUAAAAUUAAGAAUAAUCGUAACUUUAA
RNAcentral lists this long non-coding RNA (4592 nucleotides) under Mytilus galloprovincialis (Mediterranean mussel). The record is from RNAcentral. Lineage: Eukaryota; Metazoa; Mollusca; Bivalvia; Mytilida; Mytilidae.